This 495-nucleotide ribosomal RNA is filed under the name uncultured bacterium. RNAcentral describes it as "partial 16S ribosomal RNA". It matches the Rfam family "Bacterial small subunit ribosomal RNA", at positions 30 to 507 of the family's 1533-position model. The record is from RNAcentral.
UGAACGCUGGCGGCGUGCCUAAUACAUGCACGUCGAGCGAACAGAUGAGGAGCUUGCUCCUCUGACGUUAGCGGCGGACGGGUGAGUAACACGUGGAUAACCUACCUAUAAGACUGGGAUAACUUCGGGAAACCGGAGCUAAUACCGGAUAAUAUAUUGAACCGCAUGGUUCAAUAGUGAAAGACGGUUUUGCUGUCACUUAUAGAUGGAUCCGCGCCGCAUUAGCUAGUUGGUAAGGUAACGGCUUACCAAGGCAACGAUGCGUAGCCGACCUGAGAGGGUGAUCGGCCACACUGGAACUGAGACACGGUCCAAACUCCUACGGGAGGCAGCAGUAGGGAAUCUUCCGCAAUGGGCGAAAGCCUGACGGAGCAACGCCGCGUGAGUGAUGAAGGUCUUCGGAUCGUAAAACUCUGUUAUUAGGGAAGAACAAAUGUGUAAGUAACUAUGCACGUCUUGACGGUACCUAAUCAGAAAGCCACGGCUAACUACGUG